AUACUUAGAAAAAGAAAAGAAAAAAAAAAACUACAUAAAGGAAAGGAAACCCAAGAUUCUGAUUUUGGUAUAACUUUAAACUUGACCACCAACUGUGAAGGCUCUAAUGCCAACACUCCAGAUAUUCACUAUUGCACUGCUCUUUUAUUUAUAAGUUUCACACAACAGACAUGAAGUACCCAGGACUUCCAGGUCUGGAGGAUCUUGGCAUCACUCCAUCUGCUGUAGAACAAAAGGCUAUUGAGAUUCUGCGCCGCCACCGCCGAUUCCGUUACCUGGAAGCUGACCUGGAUGAGACAAAACCAGCCAAAACUGUCAGCUAUUAAACUACCUGACCACUUCCCAACAUCACUGAGGAUAUACGACAAUGCCAUUAUGAGAGAGUAUUCAGCUGUUACAUAUUCACGUCAUUUGACUUGAAAAUUUUUAUUGUUUUACUACACCUGAAUCAUGGUUGGUAAUAAAUCAGGAGAAACACACCAUUGUGCUGUGACAAAUACUAAACUCUGCUGCAGUCUGCAGGAACAUGGCUAAUUUAUUUUUAAUAACAUAUUUAAUGUUUACACAAUACAUAGUAUGAGUAAUAGAGAUUGAGACAGUGUAGAAACAUCAUACACAUUUUUACAUCUGUGACGUAAUGUAAAACAAGCACAGUAAAUACAGAAGUGCACUUUGAAUCCUCCAUAAUAGCUUGAUAGUACCUCACUAAGUUGUAGAGGCAGACUAAUUUGAUACUAAGAUUAAAAUCGGCAUUGACUCGGUUCCUAUCUCAGCCUCAAUAAAUCAUGCCCUUUUGAUUUAAACAGCUAAAUUGAAAGACCCAACUGAAAUAGUAAUUUAUGGUACAUAUGGUAGGAAAGUGUUCUUUAUUGUACUACUUGAGCUGUAAAGUGUGGAGUGAAGAGUUGCUUGGACAGUACAGAAUGACUGAUGUGAUCCUUUGUGAAACUACAAUGAAGACAUACUUGGGGAGAGCUGGAA
Micropterus dolomieu (smallmouth bass) is the source of this 981-nucleotide long non-coding RNA. RefSeq lists it as uncharacterized. The transcript has 2 exons. Lineage: Eukaryota; Metazoa; Chordata; Actinopteri; Centrarchiformes; Centrarchidae. The record is from RefSeq and is a predicted model, not a curated record.